CAAUAGCGUAUAUUAAAGUUGUUGCAGUUAAAAAGCUCGUAGUUGGAUUUCGGAAUGGGCCCGUCGGUCCGCCGCAAGGUGAGGCACUGACUGGUUUGUUCUUCUUCGCAAAGACUGCGUGUGCUCUUCGCUGAGUGUGCGUAGGAUUUACGACGUUUACUUUGAAAAAAUUAGAGUGUUCAAAGCAGGCUUUAGCUUGAAUACAUGAGCAUGGAAUAAUGGAAUAGGACUUUGGUUCUAUUUUGUUGGUUUCUAGGACCGAAGUAAUGAUUAAGAGGGACAAUUGGGGGCAUCCGUAUUUCGUUGUCAGAGGUGAAAUUCUUGGAUUUACGAAAGACGAACAACUGCGAAAGCACUUGCCAAGAGUGUUUUCAUUAA
This 378-nucleotide ribosomal RNA is filed under the name uncultured eukaryote. RNAcentral describes it as "partial 18S ribosomal RNA". It matches the Rfam family "Eukaryotic small subunit ribosomal RNA", at positions 592 to 976 of the family's 1831-position model. The record is from RNAcentral.